GGAUUAGAUACCCGGGUAGUCCACGCCGUAAACGAUGAGUGCUAAGUGUUAGGGGGUUUCCGCCCCUUAGUGCUGCAGCUAACGCAUUAAGCACUCCGCCUGGGGAGUACGGUCGCAAGACUGAAACUCAAAGGAAUUGACGGGGGCCCGCACAAGCGGUGGAGCAUGUGGUUUAAUUCGAAGCAACGCGAAGAACCUUACCAGGUCUUGACAUCCCGUUGACCACUGUAGAGAUAUAGUUUCCCCUUCGGGGGCAACGGUGACAGGUGGUGCAUGGUUGUCGUCAGCUCGUGUCGUGAGAUGUUGGGUUAAGUCCCGCAACGAGCGCAACCCUUGAUCUUAGUUGCCAUCAUUUAGUUGGGCACUCUAAGGUGACUGCCGGUGACAAACCGGA
This 394-nucleotide ribosomal RNA is filed under the name uncultured bacterium. Its description in RNAcentral is "bacterial SSU rRNA". It matches the Rfam family "Bacterial small subunit ribosomal RNA", at positions 775 to 1167 of the family's 1533-position model. The record is from RNAcentral.